UGCGGAAGGAUCAUUAUCGAAUUAUAGGCAAAGGUUGUCGCUGGCCCUCCCUGGGGGCAUGUGCACGCCUGAGCUCAUUAAUCCAAAUUACACCUGUGAACUUAAUGUGGGAUGGUCUCCCUUCGGGGAAGCAAGUCUCAUGUCUUUCAUACACACACACUUGUCUCAGAAUGUCUUAUUAUGUUGUUUGCUUUGACGCAAUCAAAUAAAUAAAUACAACUUUCAACAACGGAUCUCUUGGCUCUCGCAUCGAUGAAGAACGCAGCGAAAUGCGAUAAGUAAUGUGAAUUGCAGAUUUUCAGUGAAUCAUCGAAUCUUUGAACGCACCUUGCGCUCCUUGGUAUUCCGAGGAGCAUGCCUGUUUGAGUGUCAUUAAAUUCUCAACUUUGCUUGUCUUUUUGUGUCGAGCGAAGCUUGGAUUUUGGAGCGUGCUGGCGAAGGUCGGCUCCUCUUUAAAUGCAUUAGCGGAAAGGUCAUAUUUGACUUUUGCGGUGAAUCGGCGUGAUAAUAAUGUUGUUGCGUCGUUGACCCAAAAGCUCUCUGUCCGCUUACAAUGGUCUUCGGACGACUUAUUAUGAAACUUGACCUCAAAUCAGGUAGGACUACCCGCUGAACUUAAGCAUAUCAAUAAGCGGAGGAA
RNAcentral lists this small RNA (640 nucleotides) under uncultured fungus. RNAcentral describes it as "eukaryotic LSU rRNA". The stretch from base 218 to 372 matches the Rfam family "5.8S ribosomal RNA". The record is from RNAcentral. Lineage: Eukaryota; Fungi.